CAGCGGUGGAGAUGUAGCCAUCGGACAGCGCCAACUCCCCCUGUUCGCCGAGGGGAGGACCGGGGGUUGGCGGAUCCGAGGGAGACCCGUGUGCCAAGAAACCAAGACACCCGUUCAAUUUAAAAAAAUGGAAUGAGCCGGCGGGACGUCACGAUGCGCCGUCGCCAAAAAGCUCCACACGUCGCUGCACGAACGCGCUCAUUUGGCUCUCAGUCCGGAGGCACCGCUGGUUACCAGGAGCUCAUCCAAGACCCGUGCAACCCACCCACCCUUCUUCUGCGCCCGAGGAGGAAACAAAAAUGACACACAAAAGCACCAGAAGUGAAGACGAGGGCGUACUCCAACCUUCAGGUGUGUUGGAGGCGCUGUGUGCGUUUGUGCGUUUGCUGCUGACAGAGCGCUGUGUUCGCAGGCCUGAGGGGUUGUCUGUUAUCUUUGGUUAUCUAGCUGUAUGAGUGGCGUACAUUCUUCAUAAAGCUAGAUAACCGAAAGUAACAAGAAUCCCAUUACACGCCUGCACGGUGGAAGAAAACUAAAUGAAAAGGACGAGAAGAACUGGGAAUGGGCUCGGACAACGGACGCUGUCAAACGAUGGCGUGAAGGACAUUGCUGUGAUGAUCAACGGCACCGUGACUUUAAACCGGUCGCGCUGGGCUGAAGCCAUGAAGAUGUUAAGGGUGAGCUGGUGGACAGAUUCGAGCACUGCUGACCUUUAGCCAAACGCUGACGUUCAUGCAGCACCAGCCUGAUACGUUUGCUCGGUCUAUCCUGUAUAAAACAAACGUCUCUGCCACCUUGUUGUCCCAACCAUGUGUGACUACACACGUGAGCUGUGUAAUCACAUGCUGCCGCUGCAGUACUUCACACUCAGUUAUUGCCGCUGCCCUGUGCCUCAGACAUUUAUGGCUCUCACCUAAUUGUAUGUAUUUUUUUUUACGUUUUUUAUAUUUGUUUUAUUACAACCCCCCGAAAUCAAAUCAAAUAAGGUCUCCUGUGUUAUUACUGCAACUACAAAUAGGAAUAACAAGAGGAAGAAGGACUUUAGAGAUUCAAAACACUUGGAUGUAAUAUUUAGAUUAAUGUUCUUUAAAAAAAAACAUUGAUUGAUUCUAAGAUCCUAUCUUCGCCUUCCCGUAAUUUAAGCUUCUCUCUUUUUUUGUCUCACACACACUGAGGAGUCUCUUUGUCAGAUUUCACCUUGUUUGGGUAAGAAUUUGGCCCCAAUCAGUUUCUAAUUAGCUUUUUUUUUUACUUUAAUGAUGGCAGAUAAUUGGCUGAAAUGGAAAAGCUUGAAUCCUUUCCUUUGGGAAAGAAAUUGUUUUGUUGUUGUUGCUGUAGUCGUUCGGUGAAGCAUCACCACACGUAGCUGCUACAUGGAGCUGUGGCCACACUUUUUGAACAAUACAAUAAAGACAAAUAUAUCGAAUAUCCAGUUUCAGGAUGAGGAUUAUUUUGCGGUUAAAGAGAGCAAGUCGCACAGAAGCUGUGGUGGCUAGAGAGGCAAAACAAAACAAAAAACACCUCAAGGGGCAAUUAGGAGGCCCUCAUCAUUUGGAGCAUCUCCCCUCCAGUUGAUGCUCUUUCAGAACUCAAUGAGCUUUGUCUCAAACGAAUGACGAAGAUGGUGUGUGCGUGUGUGUGUGUGUGUGUGUGUGUGUGUGUGUGUGUGUGCGUGUGUGUGUUAUCUUAUAUCCCAUGUACCACAUAAAUUGGUUGAGCCAAAAUAAUAUCUAGAAACCAACAAUCUUUCUACAAUAUAAAAUAUCACAAGCUUCUUCCUUCAUAAGCUCUAUUAACACGCAGUGUGACGUAGCACAAACUAUCUGGAAGAAUGCUUUAACACUGCUUCCCCUUCAUUCAGUUAUGCUUUUGGAAAUGGCUUAUUUUUAUAUUUGAGAUAUCUUUGUAAUGUUUUUUAAGCUUACAAAAGUCCCAAGCUAUGUUUCUGUUGACCACGUGUUCACUUUUUGACCCUGUACCUUCUUCACACACUCGCCCAAACAUUCGUUCCCCUCAUUCAUUUUAUUUUAUUCUUCCCGUUUCUUCCCAGCUUGGAUUCUCAGAUGGUUGGUUCUGAUUUGUAUGCAUUUGCAUAAUGAAUGUCAUUUGCAUGCUCAGGGGCAGACCAUACCAUGAGAACGGCUGUGUUGGUUGUUUGUGUGUGUGUGUGUGUGUGUGUGUUCAUGCAUGGGCACACAUGUGUCUUAGCAUGUGUGUGCCGUAUAUUAAGCACAUGUAAAUUACACGUUCUUUACACAAACGGACCAUUGCAGGGUGCUGUUUACUUCGCUGUAUACACACUUUCUCUCUGACGUGUGUGUAUAUAUGUGUGUGUGUCCAUGUUUGGGAGGAUUGUGCUUCUGUGUGUUGCGCAUGUUGGGCACCAAUGUUCCAAUCGGCGAUGUUACCGCUCGGCAAUGUACCGACUAGAAGAAUGAAAAACAAGAGACUCCCUCCUCAAUCCCACCAUCCUCCUCUACACUCCGACCCCUCCCUCGCCAGUUUGUCCUCCUCUCCCGCACGGAAAGUCACAGUCCUGCCACCAUCUUAGGUGUUAAGACUGGCACAAAAUGGCAGCUAAAAGAAAGCAGAAUGUGGAUAGGCAGCGCUGCACCUUCCCCCACAUCGCGUUGGCUUCGCUCCUUUCCGCGCCAUUGGUCGCCUCAAGACAGUGUUAAUUACCGCCAGUGUGUUAAUUGUGGGGAUCGCCCCGAGAGACCCGCGGGAAGGGGUGAGAUAAAGAGGAAGCCGUAGGAGCCAGCGGCUUUUGAGCGUUGGCAAACUGGCAUUUUUAAGGGCAGCUGCGGUUCCCGCGUUGCUUUCGGCGUUCCCGUCGUCAAGCUGCAGACGCUGGCAAUCGGCCAUUUUGUGGACUUUUAAGACGCUCUGAAAACCCCAUUCGACGACUCCGUUUCCAGGUUCCUAAUUGGUCCGAAGUUGGAAAUCAUCGGAUCUUUGCCUCUUUGCUCUUUUGGACUGUGACUUUGAGGCCAGUGAUGUUCGUCUUAGACAGGACAUCUUUAACCACUAAUAUACACAAGGAAACACACCGUCCAGUGGACGAAUAAAUUGCGGUGAAUUACGGUGAUCAGUGUGGGUGUGUUGCUGGAGGGUUUUCUCAUGUGCUGCUCUGCACAGCUGCUCAGGAAACAUCUGUACUACAUUUUCAUGUAUGGCAGAGCAUAGAUCAUUCUCUCUCAAACACACUCUCAAUCAUCUAAAGUUCAAACUAAUUUUAGAUCAGAUGAUGAUAAAAUAGUUGCUGUGGGGUUCUGAACUUGUUUCGCAAUGUAUUAUUCUUUAGAGAAUCUUAUCUUAGAUCUUAAAUCAUAGCAUUUAAACUGUGUUGUAUUGUAAUUAUUUGAAUGAGCAAGAAGAUGUGGACAUUUUUAUCAGGUAAAAUUCUUGAUGUCUCAAUGUAAUGUUUCACAGUCAAUGUGACUGGUUUACAAUUUUUUUUCUGUUUGCGAUGUCAAAAUAGUCUCUUGGAAUUGAUCCAUCAACCAUAAAUUGUAUAAAAAUCAUCCUUAAUUUGACUUUUUUUUUACAUUUAACCAUCUCAUAUUAGUGUUUGUUGUGCCCUUUUCAAGGCUUUGUUUUUUAAAGCAAAUAUAUAUAUUUAAAUUUUUAGUGUACACAUUUAAUCAAUAGCACUAUUAUCCCUGCAAGAAGCGUUUUUGUGCAAUCAAAACUACAUUAUGUUAAUUUCUUUCCUCUAUGCAAAAUGUUGUUUUGCACUCUUUGUUAAAGUGUUUGCACAGUAAUUGUUUUGUUAAGUUUUCACAUUAGCAAUGUUCAGCUUGUGUGAGAGAAUCUUGAUGCUAAUAUGCACUAUAUGAGCACAAGUGCAAUAACAAAUGUGUUUAUCUGGAGGUUCAAUGAGAAACAGUUAAUUCUGUUUUGAUUUAGUCAGUAAAUGCAAAAGUAGAUUUAUUUACACAUUUAAUUUGUUAAGUCAGUUCCUCGUUUAAUGUAAUAUUAGUGAAUGAAUGGGAUUCUGUUUUGAUCCAUUGUGGAUAACUUGUGGAUAUGUGCAAUCGAUUUUAUGCAGUUUGAAGACUAUUCAGAGGGAACAAUUGAUUAUAUUAUAAUGCACUAUGGAUGACACACCAGCUGCUGUUAAUGUGCUCCAAAUCUGUACUAUGCAACAGUUUCACCUGCAGUUUAUUUGAAACAAUAAAAGUAUUCACUUUUUGAAUGAGACAAUGAA
Gasterosteus aculeatus aculeatus (three-spined stickleback) is the source of this 4210-nucleotide long non-coding RNA. Lineage: Eukaryota; Metazoa; Chordata; Actinopteri; Perciformes; Gasterosteidae. The record is from Ensembl.